GCGCCCGUAGCUCAAUUGGAUAGAGCAUCUGUCUACGGAACAGAAGGCUGGGGGUUCAAAUCCCUCCGGGCGCG
RNAcentral lists this transfer RNA (74 nucleotides) under Candidatus Omnitrophota bacterium. Its description in RNAcentral is "tRNA-Arg". It matches the Rfam family "tRNA". Rfam says of the family: Transfer RNA (tRNA) molecules are approximately 80 nucleotides in length. Their secondary structure includes four short double-helical elements and three loops (D, anti-codon, and T loops). The record is from RNAcentral. Lineage: Bacteria; Pseudomonadati; Candidatus Omnitrophota.